GGACGAACGCUGGCGGCGUGCUUAACACAUGCAAGUCGAACGGAAAGGCCCUUCGGGGUACUCGAGUGGCGAACGGGUGAGUAACACGUGGGUGAUCUGCCCUGCACUUUGGGAUAAGCCUGGGAAACUGGGUCUAAUACCGAAUAGGACCACGCGCUUCAUGGUGUGUGGUGGAAAGCUUUUGCGGUGUGGGAUGGGCCCGCGGCCUAUCAGCUUGUUGGUGGGGUAAUGGCCUACCAAGGCGACGACGGGUAGCCGGCCUGAGAGGGUGACCGGCCACACUGGGACUGAGAUACGGCCCAGACUCCUACGGGAGGCAGCAGUGGGGAAUAUUGCACAAUGGGCGCAAGCCUGAUGCAGCGACGCCGCGUGAGGGAUGACGGCCUUCGGGUUGUAAACCUCUUUCAAUAGGGACGAAGCGAAAGUGACGGUACCUAUAGAAGAAGCACCGGCCAACUACGUG
RNAcentral lists this ribosomal RNA (463 nucleotides) under uncultured bacterium. Its description in RNAcentral is "partial 16S ribosomal RNA". It matches the Rfam family "Bacterial small subunit ribosomal RNA", at positions 27 to 507 of the family's 1533-position model. The record is from RNAcentral.